This 270-nucleotide ribosomal RNA is filed under the name uncultured archaeon. RNAcentral describes it as "partial 16S ribosomal RNA". It matches the Rfam family "Archaeal small subunit ribosomal RNA", at positions 477 to 747 of the family's 1478-position model. The record is from RNAcentral.
CAGCACCUCAAGUGGUCAGGAUGAUUAUUGGGCCUAAAGCAUCCGUAGCCGGCGCUGUAAGUUUUCGGUUAAAUCUGUACGCUCAACGUACAGGCUGCCGGGAAUACUGCAGCGCUAGGGAGUGGGAGAGGUAGACGGUACUCGGUAGGAAGGGGUAAAAUCCUUUGAUCUAUUGAUGACCACCUGUGGCGAAGGCGGUCUACCAGAACACGUCCGACGGUGAGGGAUGAAAGCUGGGGGAGCAAACCGGAUUAGAUACCCGAGUAGUUC